CUUUCGGGCCCUGGGAAGCCCUAAUCCAGUCAGAAGUGAUGCAGAUGCCCACACUGAAAACUCUUCGUUCAGCCGUGCUCAUCUACUGUUGACGGCGUGUACCGCGCACUGCCUGCAGGCCCUAAGCCGGGUUAGCACCGCACUGCAAACAUGCGCCAAGCCUUCCCUUCCAAGGCUGUACGACUUAGUUACACAGAAGCCCAAGCCAAAGCAACAUGAGAAUGGUGAUGAGAGCUCUGUCCAGAGAGACGAUGGCUGCCAGACACUAGCUCCAUGGUGGAGUCCUUGAGUAGUCGAAGAUUAGAGAGACCAUUCAUAAACCCUGAUAUGCUGCACAGAUGAAAGCUAUCAAGUGGAUUUACAGAGGAAAUAAGCUUUCUAGAAAGCACAAUGUGCUUGGGAGUACCGGUGUGCAUCCACCUCGCAUCACCAAGGAUUAGAAACUGCAGCUUCAAGGAGCUUGCAGCCCAGCAGCAACCUGAAGGCCUAAUAAAGAAUAAAACCUAAUAAAAGAUUUUGGCACUGAAAGCCCUAA
Molecule: long non-coding RNA, 535 nt
Organism: Strigops habroptila (Kakapo)
Lineage: Eukaryota; Metazoa; Chordata; Aves; Psittaciformes; Psittacidae
Exons: 4
Source: RefSeq, a predicted model, not a curated record